GACGAACGCUGGCGGCGUGCUUAACACAUGCAAGUCGAACGGAAAGGCCCUGCUUUUGUGGGGUGCUCGAGUGGCGAACGGGUGAGUAACACGUGAGUAACCUGCCCUUGACUUUGGGAUAACUUCAGGAAACUGGGGCUAAUACCGGAUAGGAGCUCCUGCUGCAUGGUGGGGGUUGGAAAGUUUCGGCGGUUGGGGAUGGACUCGCGGCUUAUCAGCUUGUUGGUGGGGUAGUGGCUUACCAAGGCUUUGACGGGUAGCCGGCCUGAGAGGGUGACCGGCCACAGUGGGACUGAGAUACGGCCCAGACUCCGACGGGAGGGAGAGGUGGGGAAUAGUGCACAAUGGGCGGAAGCCUGAUGCAGCAACGCCGCGUGCGGGAUGACGGCCUUCGGGUUGUAAACCGCUUUCGCCUGUGACGAAGCGUGAGUGACGGUAAUGGGUAGAGAAGCACCGGCUAACUACGUG
RNAcentral lists this ribosomal RNA (468 nucleotides) under uncultured bacterium. Its description in RNAcentral is "partial 16S ribosomal RNA". It matches the Rfam family "Bacterial small subunit ribosomal RNA", at positions 28 to 507 of the family's 1533-position model. The record is from RNAcentral.